Magnolia sinica is the source of this 788-nucleotide long non-coding RNA. RefSeq lists it as uncharacterized. The transcript is spliced from 3 exons. The record is from RefSeq and is a predicted model, not a curated record. Lineage: Eukaryota; Viridiplantae; Streptophyta; Magnoliopsida; Magnoliales; Magnoliaceae.
AUGGUGGCUCAGCGACUGCGUAUUAGGCGUGUAGCUAGAGUAUCAAAUAACUCCUUUCACUGCUCUCUCUCACUCUCAUUUCUUUAAUUGGGUAAGCUCUGUUUUUAAAGAAUUUUAUAAGUUUGCUGUUGUAUGCAUACCGUUUGAUUGAUUUUGUUUUUAUAUAUUUGCAAUGGAAUUAAAAAAAUAAAAUAAAAAUCCUUACUUUGUAUUUUGAUUGGAUCCGAUUUUGAUUUUAUUGGAACCCGAAACGGAUUUCUAAUUAUGGGAAAAAAGAAUAACGAUCCGUGUCCUGCACACAACCUGUUCGAUGGAAUGCUCAUGAGUAGAUCUUCACAUCAAACUUCAAAGAGGAGGGAUAUAUGCAGAGAUGUUGAAGAGGGACCAGCUUUGCAUCCUUGAUUUCAUGAUCUUGUUGGUGGAUUAAGAUCAAAAUGCCUCACCGAACAAGGCCUACGACUGCACUCUUGGUUUUCAUGGGAGUUAAUGUUGUCUUGGUGUCGACAAUCACUCCGGUUUAUGAUUUUGUGUGCUUCCAUCCUUACUGGGAAAGAAGGAGAGAAUGUCGUCGCCAGGAACGUGAAGCUGCCAUGGCAAAGGGUCCCCAGUCAAGUUAAAGGGGUGGUUUUCAGACACAGAUAUUCUUUCAUACAGCUCGAGGAAGAAGAAAAGAAAAGGCUUUUUAUUGUUGUUAUGGUGUUUGUUUUCACUCUAUGUGGGUGUGAUUGUUUGUUGAAGAAGAAUAAUAUGAUCUUCAACCUGAGAAAUGCACAUCCUACUUUUGGUUU